This is a long non-coding RNA of Armigeres subalbatus, 1311 nucleotides long. RefSeq lists it as uncharacterized. The transcript is spliced from 3 exons. Lineage: Eukaryota; Metazoa; Arthropoda; Insecta; Diptera; Culicidae. The record is from RefSeq and is a predicted model, not a curated record.
CGAUCCAUGACGGUGAAUAAUAUUCAAUAACAAUAAUCCUUUUCAAAACUAUGUGUGAGAGCUAAUGGUAAAAAUCCAUAAUAUGUCACACAUAAACUUAAUUACUGUCACUGUUAUUGUUGAUCUCUAGCUCCAAUACCCGAAAACUGGCCUGAUCAGUCCGAUUCAGAGGUAGAGUGAAAAAAAGAUGGCGACAUCAGAAGCUUUUUUGCUGAUGUGCUGUAAUAGUAAAGUUUAUUUUAUAAAAGUAAUUAGAUUUUAAAAUAAUGUUUCACUGGAGCCCAUUUAGUUCUUUAGCUGUGUUACAAAAUGUCCAGAGAAAUGGACAAAAUCCUAGCAGAUUCAGUAAUAUAUACAGGUAUACUUACGCAAAUAUUUCUUCCGUGCAAACAUUGCUCCAGCCAGUUUUCACCACAAGGCCGCCAAGUAUAAAUUACCUGUGAAUGGAAAAAAACAUCCGGUCAUCGAAUCAGCAUUCAAGCUAGCAGCCAUUUUCGAGAGCUCCCCAUAUCAGCAACACGAUUCGAUUCGGAGAAGUAACAUCCAGAUGACCGUCAAGGUCACCUUCAAAUCGACGGUAAUCAGUUUAUCGUUCCGGUGUCGUUGUUUUCGUGAAACUGAACCAAAUGACCGCCAUGUCGCUAUGACGAAAAAGUUGCUUGAUUAAUUGGCGAAAUUAGAAGGCUCGCUCAUUGUGCCGAACAAUAACACUCGGAUGACAGGAUUGUUUCCGGUUCAGUACGAAAUUGAAUCAGAUUGCUCUGCGUCGCAUGAACAGGUACAAGAUCUGAACCUAUCCAGCUUUUACGAGAGUGGAAAUGUUUCAAACUCCAAGGUUAUAAGUGAAAACUAUUUCCCACCCCUAAAAAGUUGUGCCUUUGGCGACCGAAUUUCCAUAUGAUGGCAGCGCUGGACAUGAACAACGAAUUUUCUCUUCCAUGGAGGCGCUCACACUCUAUAUGGUCGACAGGUAGGGUCGACUCGGGUCGACAUAUCUCAUCGAGAUGGCUGCCGUGCCAUACGUGAUUUUCUGCGGAAUAUCCUGCGACACUCAGCAGUCCCCGGUGGACGACAUGAUGCAUUAGUAGGAGUACCACUCGAGUAGCUGGUAGAUUCAGCAAGUGUGUAUCACAACUGAACGAGAUCAAAUGCUUCAAUUUUAACUACAACGCGCCGUUUCAUUCGUGCUACUCCGACCAUCUCUCACUUAUCGGAUGAUUUUCGCCAAAACACCUGAAAAGUGUGAACACUGUUAAACUUUAUCGUGAGCUACGAACGGAUCCUAAAGACGGUCAUAAUUUGCUGCCAGAA